UACAUGUGGGGCAAGCGUUGUUCGGAAUCACUGGGCAUAAAGGGUGCGUAGGCGGCUUGUUAAGUCAGGGGUGAAAUCCCACGGCCCAACCGUGGAACUGCCUUUGAAACUGGCGAGCUUGAGUGCGUGAGGGGUAACCGGAACGAGUCGUGUAGCGGUGAAAUGCGUAGAGAUCGGAAGGAACACCAACGGCGAAAGCACUCUGCUGGGCCGACACUGACACUGAGAGACGAAAGCUAGGGGAGCGAAUGGG
This 253-nucleotide ribosomal RNA is filed under the name uncultured bacterium. RNAcentral's name for it is "partial 16S ribosomal RNA". It matches the Rfam family "Bacterial small subunit ribosomal RNA", at positions 524 to 776 of the family's 1533-position model. The record is from RNAcentral.